AGUGAACGCUGGCGGUAGGCCUAACACAUGCAAGUCGAACGGCAGCACAGUAAGAGCUUGCUCUUACGGGUGGCGAGUGGCGGACGGGUGAGGAAUACAUCGGAAUCUACUUUUUCGUGGGGGAUAACGUAGGGAAACUUACGCUAAUACCGCAUACGACCUACGGGUGAAAGCAGGGGAUCUUCGGACCUUGCGCGAUUGAAUGAGCCGAUGUCGGAUGAGCUAGUUGGCGGGGUAAAGGCCCACCAAGGCGACGAUCCGUAGCUGGUCUGAGAGGAUGAUCAGCCAGACUGGAACUGAGACACGGUCCAGACUCCUAAGGGAGGAAGCAGUGGGGAAUAUUGGACAAUGGGCGCAAGCCUGAUCCAGCCAUACCGCGUGGGUGAAGAAGGCCUUCGGGUUGUAAAGCCCUUUUGUUGGGAAAGAAAAGCAGCAGGUUAAUACCCCGCUGUUCUGACGGUACCCAAAGAAUAAGCACCGGCUAACUUCGUG
RNAcentral lists this ribosomal RNA (492 nucleotides) under uncultured bacterium. RNAcentral describes it as "partial 16S ribosomal RNA". It matches the Rfam family "Bacterial small subunit ribosomal RNA", at positions 29 to 507 of the family's 1533-position model. The record is from RNAcentral.